RNAcentral lists this ribosomal RNA (253 nucleotides) under uncultured bacterium. RNAcentral describes it as "partial 16S ribosomal RNA". It matches the Rfam family "Bacterial small subunit ribosomal RNA", at positions 524 to 776 of the family's 1533-position model. The record is from RNAcentral.
UACGUAGGAUGCAAGCGUUGUCCGGAUUUACUGGGCGUAAAGCGCGCGCAGGCGGCACGGCAAGUAAGGUGUGAAAUCUCCCUGCUCAACGGGGAGGGUGCACUUUAGACUGCCGAGCUUGAGGUCGGUAGAGGGGGGUAGAAUUGCUGGUGUAGCGGUGAAAUGCGUAGAGAUCAGCAGGAAUACCCGUGGCGAAGGCGGCCCCCUGGGCCGUACCUGACGCUGAGGCGCGAAGGCUAGGGGAGCGAACGGG